Homo sapiens (human) is the source of this 900-nucleotide long non-coding RNA. Ensembl annotates it as long intergenic non-protein coding RNA 2647. Lineage: Eukaryota; Metazoa; Chordata; Mammalia; Primates; Hominidae. The record is from Ensembl.
AGUGUUACUCAUGCUGCCUCCAUCCCUGGUGCCCUCUCUGUAUCUCUGUGCCUUUGUGCACACUGCUUCCUCUGCCUGGAAGCCCUUCUUCCUUUCUCCACACAACACAUCCCUCCUUACUCAUUAAAGUCCCGUACAAAUGCUAAAGGCAGCUGAUCUUGUCAGCAAACUUGGCCACCAAAUAGAAAAUCUCCUUCUAUGCCCACUAGUCAUGGACAAAACUCAAAAGUUGCAUGGGAACUUCAGUUAUCGGGCAAUGUUACCAGGGUUUGGGGCAGAAGGAACAGAUAAAAGGGACAAUUCUAAGGAAGAUGAUUGAAAGACUGACCCCAAUGUGGAGAGGAUGAUUCCAGCACUACUCGUACUGCACUAGAAUGCAAAUUGCAAGAGGGCAGAUAAAUGGUUCAUUCUGUUUCUAUUCACCGUUUCAUCGCAGGAAUGGAAGCAUAAUAGGCUCUCAGAACAUUUUUGUUCAGUGUUCAAUUGAUGAACAUAGGAGAGAGCUCAGGCUAACUUGGAAGUCAUUUAUGUGUAAGCACAGGGCAACUGGUUGUUACAGAAAAGAGAACAUUCAAGAAAUCAUGGAGGUGGAAUACAGGAACCUGGGCACCACAUACGCAGAUUACGUGUUGCUCCGGGUUCUUUUGCCUUGACUUCAUAUCUGCCCCCUCAGUCUCUCCAGGAUACAAUGUGGAAAACAUGGCCACUGACAGGUUGGCAUAACUGCCAGAAUAGCUUUAUUCAUCAGAAAGACAGGGACUGUCCUACUUACUACCAGUUCUAAAAUCCCUAGAAAAAGACUGCUAUUAGACUGGCUUUUCAAUGGCGGGUACCAACCCUUUAUCCAAUCCAUUGUGAUCGGCGUAGGAAGUCUCAUGAGUACAGUGAGAAUGCACUCCA